Molecule: ribosomal RNA, 387 nt
Filed under: uncultured eukaryote
Lineage: Eukaryota
Description: SSU rRNA
Rfam family: Eukaryotic small subunit ribosomal RNA
Source: RNAcentral
AGCUCCAAGAGUGUAUAUUAAAGUUGUUGCGGUUAAAAAGCUCGUAGUUGGACUUUGGGUUGGAGUGCAGAGUCCCCGGCGGCAUCGUCGUCGGGAUAAAGGCUUUGUUUUUCCUUCCUUCUUCUUGGGACGCAAAACGCCGGGCGACCGGCGGUUCCACAGGGUUUACUUUGAAUAAAUUAGGGUGUUCAAAGCAGGCGAAUCGCCUUGAAUACAUUAGCAUGGGAUAAUGAAAGAUGACCUUUGGUCUGUACUUUAUUGGUUUCUGGGGCCGAGGUAAUGAUUAACAGGGACAGUUGGGGUCGCUUGUAUUCAGUGGUCAGAGGUGAAAUUCUAGGACCCACUGAGGACAAACAAAUGCGAAGGCAUUCGACAAGGAUGUUUUCA